Molecule: ribosomal RNA, 301 nt
Filed under: uncultured bacterium
Lineage: Bacteria
Description: partial 16S ribosomal RNA
Rfam family: Bacterial small subunit ribosomal RNA
Source: RNAcentral
CAGCCGCCGCGGGAAUACGGAGGGAGCUAGCGUUGUUCGGAAUCACUGGGCGUAAAGCGCACGUAGGCGGCUAUUCAAGUCAGGGGUGAAAGCCCGGGGCUCAACCCCGGAACUGCCUUUGAAACUAGAUAGCUUGAAUCUUGGAGAGGCGAGUGGAAUUCCAAGUGUAGAGGUGAAAUUCGUAGAUAUUCGGAAGAACACCAGUGGCGAAGGCGACUCGCUGGACAAGUAUUGACGCUGAGGUGCGAAAGCGUGGGGAGCAAACAGGAUUAGAUACCCCCGUAGUCCCUGUCUCUUAUAC